CGGCACGGGUGAGUAACACGUAUCCAACCUGCCGUCUACUCUUGGACAGCCUUCUGAAAGGAAGAUUAAUACAAGAUGGCAUCAUGAGUCCGCAUGUUCACAUGAUUAAAGGUAUUCCGGUAGACGAUGGGGAUGCGUUCCAUUAGAUAGUAGGCGGGGUAACGGCCCACCUAGUCAACGAUGGAUAGGGGUUCUGAGAGGAAGGUCCCCCACAUUGGAACUGAGACACGGUCCAA
RNAcentral lists this ribosomal RNA (236 nucleotides) under uncultured bacterium. RNAcentral's name for it is "partial 16S ribosomal RNA". It matches the Rfam family "Bacterial small subunit ribosomal RNA", at positions 100 to 334 of the family's 1533-position model. The record is from RNAcentral.